CUGAGUUUGGGUCGGUCAGUGUAACCAUGGUAAUACCGCAUUAGAACCUAGUCUGAGUUUGGGUCGGUCAGUGUAACCAUGGUAAUACGGUCAGUGUAUUCAGAGCAUGAACAUAUCCUGAGUUAGUAAAGAAAUACGAAAUGGAACAGAUUGGAUUCAUCAGGAGGGGAGUGUCCCCAGAGAGGUGAGACUACACCAUCUAGACUAGUGUCAGUCAUCAGGAGGGGAGUGUCCCCAGAGAGAUGAGACUACACCAUCUAGACUAGUGUCAGUCAUCAGGAGGGGAGUGGAGUGUCCCCAGAGAGGUGAGACUACACCAUCUGGACUAGUGUCAGUCAUCAGGAGGGAAGUGUCCCCAGAGAGGUGAGACUACACCAUCUAGACUAGUGUCAGUCA
Molecule: long non-coding RNA, 396 nt
Organism: Oncorhynchus tshawytscha (Chinook salmon)
Lineage: Eukaryota; Metazoa; Chordata; Actinopteri; Salmoniformes; Salmonidae
Source: Ensembl